UACGUAGGCAGCGAGCGUUGUUCGGAGUUACUGGGCGUAAAGGGUGUGUAGGCGGUUCUUUAAGUUUGGCGUGAAAUCUCCCGGCUCAACCGGGAGGGUGCGUCGAAUACUGAGGGACUAGAGUACGGGAGAGGAAAGUGGAAUUCCUGGUGUAGCGGUGAAAUGCGUAGAUAUCAGGAGGAACACCGGUGGCGUAGACGGCUUUCUGGACCGUAACUGACGCUGAGACACGAAAGCGUGGGUAGCAAACAGG
Molecule: ribosomal RNA, 253 nt
Filed under: uncultured bacterium
Lineage: Bacteria
Description: partial 16S ribosomal RNA
Rfam family: Bacterial small subunit ribosomal RNA
Source: RNAcentral